GACGAACGCUGGCGGCGUGCUUAACACAUGCAAGUCGAACGGAACUGCCCUGCUUUUGUGGGGUGCUCGAGUGGCGAACGGAUGAGUAACACGAGAGUAACCUUCACAUGACUUUGGGAUAACUUCAGGAAACUGGGGCUAAUACCGGACAGGAGCUCCUGCUGCAUGGUGGUGGUUGGCAAGUUUCGGCGGUUGGGGAUGGAGUGGCGGUAUAUCAGUUUGUUGGUGGGGUAGUGGCUUACCAAGGCUUUGACGGGUAGCCGGCCUGAGAAGGUGACCGGCCACAUUGGGACUGAGAUACGGCCCAGAAUCGUACGGGCGGCAGCAGUGGAGAAUAUUGCACAAUGGGCGGACGCCUGAUGCAGCAACGCCGCGUGCGGGAUGACGGCCUUCGGGUUGUAAACCGCUUUCGCAUGUGACGAAGAGUGAGUGACGGUAAUGAGUAAAGAAGCACCGGCUAACUACGUG
This 468-nucleotide ribosomal RNA is filed under the name uncultured bacterium. RNAcentral's name for it is "partial 16S ribosomal RNA". It matches the Rfam family "Bacterial small subunit ribosomal RNA", at positions 28 to 507 of the family's 1533-position model. The record is from RNAcentral.